RNAcentral lists this ribosomal RNA (251 nucleotides) under uncultured bacterium. RNAcentral's name for it is "partial 16S ribosomal RNA". It matches the Rfam family "Bacterial small subunit ribosomal RNA", at positions 524 to 776 of the family's 1533-position model. The record is from RNAcentral.
GACGGGGGGGGCAAGUGUUCUUCGGAAUGACUGGGCGUAAAGGGCACGUAGGCGGUGAAUCGGGUUGAAAGUGGAAGUCGCCAAAAAGUGGCGGAAUGCUCUCGAAACCAAUUCACUUGAGUGAGACAGAGGAGAGUGGAAUUCCUGGUGUAGCGGUGAAAUGCGCAGAUAUCGGGAAGAACACCCGUGGCGAAGGCGGCACUCUGGGACGGUACUGACGCUGAGACGCGAAAGCGUGGGGAGCGAACAGG